AACAUCGCGCACCUGCGGGAACCUGCGGAGGGAUCAUUACCGAGUUCUUCAACUCCCAAACCCCUGUGAACGCACCCCAGACGUUGCUUCGGCGGACCGCCCCGGCGCCCUCCCUCCCUCCCCGGGGGGGGGGCGGGCCCGGAGCCAGGCGCCCGCCGGGGGACCCAAACUCUUGUCUUUCGCCCGCCGCGGCGUCUUUCUUCUGAGUGAGAGCAAAAAACGAAUCAAAACUUUUAACAA
RNAcentral lists this unclassified non-coding RNA (240 nucleotides) under soil metagenome. RNAcentral describes it as "partial contains 5.8S ribosomal RNA, internal transcribed spacer 2, and large subunit ribosomal RNA". The record is from RNAcentral.